RNAcentral lists this long non-coding RNA (1167 nucleotides) under Arachis ipaensis. RNAcentral's name for it is "long non-coding RNA (AIPA_LNC000357)". Lineage: Eukaryota; Viridiplantae; Streptophyta; Magnoliopsida; Fabales; Fabaceae. The record is from RNAcentral.
GGCGAGGGAACUCUAUAAAAAUAACAGGAAUCACAAGUAAAACUACUAGUCGUCUGCAUCUUCUAACUGAAUCUUCGAACCUGUGUCACUGAAAGGGUAGAAGAUUUUGGGGUGAGAACAAACCACACGUUCUCAGUAGGGAAUGGGAAUGCCGUAAAAGUAAUGAAUUUAACGCAAAUAAUUAACUUUACUCAAAAAAACUAUUUUGUUAACCCUUUGGAAAUACUUUUAUUUCUACUUUAGAUAAAUAAUUAUUUUUCUUUAAAUUUCUAAACUCAAAAUAAAUUUUAAAUAUAAAACUAGUCACAUUUUCUGUCUCUCAGCCACAUAGUUAUUCCUCAGUCAAAUGUCAACUCGUAAUCACAUUAAUACACUCACAAACAAAUAGUGCAAGCAAGAGAUUCAAUUCAAUGUACAAGCAAGUCACAACAAGACAAACAAUACAAGCAGCACAAACACAUAGAAAAUAUAACAAGUAAAACAAGACCAAAUACAAAUGCGCAAUCAAUAUGAUAAAGUCAUGAUCGUACCAAAAGUAAGGAGUUACUAACCUGUUCUCCUUAUUUACUAUUUAAUAUUGAGCCUUUAGGUCGAUAUCGCGUUUCAGUUUAUAAGAAAAUACCAGAAAAUUAUUUGUAGUAAUUAAAAUCACACAAUUAUUAAUAAUAGUAAAUGCUAUACAAAUGAAUUCAAUAUAAAACUCAAAUACAAUACAUAUCCCUCUGGAUAAAAUAAAACUUAAAGCAACAAGGGUGAGGGAACUCUAUAAAAAUAACAGGGAUCACAAGUUAAUCUACUAGUCGUCUGCAUCUUCUAACUGAAUCUUCGAACCUGUGUCACUGAAAGGGUGGAAGAUUUUGGGGUGAGAACAAACCACACGUUCUCAGUAGGGAAUGGGAAUGCCGUAAAAGUAAUGAAUUUAAUACAAAUAAUUAACUUACUUAGUAAAACUAUUUUGUUAACCCUUUGGAAAUACUUUUAUUUCUACUUUAGAUAAAUAAUUACUUUUCUUUAAAUUUCUAAACUCAAAACAAAACUUAAAUAUAAAACUAGUCACAUUUUCUGUCUCUCAGCCACAUAGUUAAUCCUCAGUCAAAAGUCAACUCGUAAUCACUUUAAUACACUCACAAACAGAUAGUGCAAGCAAGAGAUUCAAUUCAAUGCACA